This 492-nucleotide ribosomal RNA is filed under the name uncultured bacterium. RNAcentral describes it as "partial 16S ribosomal RNA". It matches the Rfam family "Bacterial small subunit ribosomal RNA", at positions 29 to 507 of the family's 1533-position model. The record is from RNAcentral.
AGUGAACGCUGGCGGUAGGCCUAACACAUGCAAGUCGAACGGCAGCACAGUAAGAGCUUGCUCUUACGGGUGGCGAGUGGCGGACGGGUGAGGAAUACAUCGGAAUCUACUUUUUCGUGGGGGAUAACGUAGGGAAACUUACGCUAAUACCGCAUACGACCUACGGGUGAAAGCAGGGGAUCUUCGGACCUUGCGCGAUUGAAUGAGCCGAUGUCGGACUAGCUAGUUGGCGGGGUAAAGGCCCACCAAGGCGACGAUCCGUAGCUGGUCUGAGAGGAUGAUCAGCCACACUGGAACUGAGACACGGUCCAGACUGCUACGGGAGGCAGCAGUGGGGAAUAUUGGACAAUGGGCGCAAGCCUGAUCCAGCCAUACCGCGUGGGUGAAGAAGGCCUUCGGGUUGUAAAGCCCUUUUGUUGGGAAAGAAAAGCAGCAGGUUAAUACCCCGCUGUUCUGACGGUACCCAAAGAAUAAGCACCGGCUAACUUCGUG